CUAGACGAGCGAGACGACCUCCCUCAAAGUCUGGAACCCAGAAAUAUCGCGUCUUCUAUUUGUGUUGGUCAUCUACGAUUUGGUUGAUGCAGCCCCGUCUGGGAUUUGGUUGAUGAACCAUCUUCGAUUUGGUUGAUGCAGCCCCGUCUGGGAUUUGUUUGAUGAACCAUCUGGGAUUUGGUUGAUCCCUGCAGUGAGUGCAAUCCAAUUUCAUUCUUGAUCAGAUUUCCAAAUUUCUCCCAACCCAGUUCAAAGGCUUUACAGGUGAUUGAGCAAAACCCAGAGCCCGAGAACAAGCAGAGAGACAAACGUU
Long non-coding RNA from Rosa rugosa (rugosa rose), 313 nucleotides. RefSeq lists it as uncharacterized. The transcript has 3 exons. The record is from RefSeq and is a predicted model, not a curated record. NCBI's taxonomy places the organism in Eukaryota, Viridiplantae, Streptophyta, Magnoliopsida, Rosales, Rosaceae.